GCUUCGGUGUCCUAGUGGUUAGAGCGUCCGCUUUAGAUGUAGGAGAUCGUGGGUUCGAUCCCUUUUCGAGUCA
Molecule: non-coding RNA, 73 nt
Organism: Potamilus streckersoni
Lineage: Eukaryota; Metazoa; Mollusca; Bivalvia; Unionida; Unionidae
Source: the annotation of a GenBank genome assembly